RNAcentral lists this small RNA (521 nucleotides) under Pongo abelii (Sumatran orangutan). Its description in RNAcentral is "processed transcript". The record is from RNAcentral. Lineage: Eukaryota; Metazoa; Chordata; Mammalia; Primates; Hominidae.
CUUUAUACUCUGCGGAGAGUGAGUCGACGGACUGUAGCCUGGGCCUCGCCAAGUUCCUUUGUUCUUUGUUUUCUUUAAAUUACCUUUUUUCUUUUUGUCUUAGAAAAUACACAUGGGUGAAAAUGAAACGAGAGCUCCCUAGAGAUCACUCAGAGCUGUUCUCAUGGGUUUUUAACUUCCAGUUGCUCAAGGGCCCGUGCUGGCUUCUGGGGUGUACUCGCACCUGCAAAGUCCAGCUUCUAGGGAGCAGCGCGAGCUGUUCUUUGUUCAAUACGCCAAGAAUCUGGACACUCUUCCCUGGCAACAUAUUUUGGCAAGCCUGCCAGGAGCGCCUAGACACGGAGGCGACUGCAGGUUCCUGGCCGGGGGCUACUCUCCAGUGCUGCCUUGAAGGCCAAGGAGUGAAUGGGGAUAGUUGCCCUGCCCAGAAACGGGAAGGACUCUUUUCUGUCUUUUCUGGUUGUGGUCCCUGAUCCCUAUGUGUGACGCAGCUUCUCCAGGGCGAACUCACACGUGUUUCA